UCAGCCACACAAACAAUGGGUCUGCUUAAAAAGGAAUCAGUCAUUUUCAUGGAUUCCUCUUAAAGAAGACAACCGCCAUUUCCAUUAGAAAAGGAACCAAAUUCCUAACACCUGGAAAAACCAAUGAAAUUUUCCAGAAAAUCACCCCAAAAUCAACCAUUAACCACCCAAAAAUCCUGCUGAAAAUAAGUUCCAAACUCAGCUAAAAAACUUAUGGAGAACAGGCCUAAAACCAGUUCUUCAACAGCUUCAAAACAGCCCUGAAUAAGCCCCCAAAUCACGCCAAAAAUCAACUUAAAAUUAGCUACAAAACCAGCUGAAAAUUGUCUCAAAACCAACACAAAAUACAGCUACAACGCAGCUACAAAACAGCUCCAGAAUCCUCAAUUAAUCCCAUUGAAGUCUUGAGCUCGAGGUUGUCGCUGACGAUGUUUCCGUUCAACAGGGCAGGUUCAGUUCGCGAGAGAGCUGCAUCCAUCCGCAGGACUAAAGCAUAUUUCCUGUCAUAUUGAAUGUCAAGGAAAUAGCAGGUAAAGUUUUUUUUAUCUCAAAUACAUAAAGUUUGCAGGAUAUUUGAUUCUCAUUGGUGUUUAUUGAAUGUGAUAAUUACAUAGGAUUUGAUUUAAUUUUGAAAUGCAUAAUUUUAUAUAUUAUUG
This 656-nucleotide long non-coding RNA is filed under the name Nicotiana benthamiana. RNAcentral describes it as "long non-coding RNA (NBEN_LNC020665)". Lineage: Eukaryota; Viridiplantae; Streptophyta; Magnoliopsida; Solanales; Solanaceae. The record is from RNAcentral.